This 445-nucleotide ribosomal RNA is filed under the name uncultured bacterium. RNAcentral describes it as "bacterial SSU rRNA". It matches the Rfam family "Bacterial small subunit ribosomal RNA", at positions 339 to 796 of the family's 1533-position model. The record is from RNAcentral.
CUACGGGAGGCAGCAGUCGAGAGGCUUCGGCAAUGGGGGAAACCCUGACCGAGCGACGCCGCGUGCGGGAUGACGGCCUUCGGGUUGUAAACCGCUUUCAGCAGGGAAGAAGCGCAAGUGACGGUACCUGCAGAAGAAGCACCGGCUAACUACGUGCCAGCAGCCGCGGUAAUACGUAGGGUGCGAGCGUUGUCCGGAAUUAUUGGGCGUAAAGAGCUUGUAGGCGGUUUGUCGCGUCUGCUGUGAAAAUCCGGGGCUCAACCCCGGACUUGCAGUGGGUACGGGCAAACUAGAGUGUGGUAGGGGAGACUGGAAUUCCUGGUGUAGCGGUGAAAUGCGCAGAUAUCAGGAGGAACACCAAUGGCGAAGGCAGGUCUCUGGGCCACUACUGACGCUGAGAAGCGAAAGCGUGGGGAGCGAACAGGAUUAGAAACCCCGGUAGUCC